UUGGAGCCCCUAUAAUAGGUUUUCAAAAUGAAAAUAUAUUGAGAAAAAUUUAGCAGAUGCAACCAUAAAUUACAGUGAUAGUCGCAUGUGAGCAUCUAAUCCUAUCGCUCUUCUGGAAUUAUAUUAGAAUUAUUUAUGAUCCAUAUAUCAUGUAUUUAAAUCAUGAGUCAAAAAAAAAAAAAAGUGAAUACCGAGAGAUUUUUGGUGAAAAUCUGGCAACGAAUAAAACUCAAAUCCUGACUUGAUUUUGGUCGAUCCAACCAUCUUUACACCGCUAAUCUCACAUGAACAACUUCAAUUUUGGGUGGAAUUAGCAAAGAGCUAGCUUCGAUUACGAGGGAUGAAUAGGGAUUUAGGUCGGCAACACCCUAAUACCUAAUUUCAUCAAAUCUGAUCAGGACCUUCAUUCUUUCUUCUCUCUUUCCUCAAUCGGUGAUUAAUCUUAAUUGAGUGAUGUAAAUCCCUAUUGAGGAAUCUAUUCCUUUCCUUGAAACACCAGGAAAUCACACAGGUUACACCACAAGUUCGGAAUGCGCAGAAGCCUUGGCUGUACAGAGUGCUGUGGAAUGGGCGAAAGAUAUUCAACUAGAGGACGUUCAUAUAACAACUGACUGUAAGAAUGUGUUGAAUUUUUUGGAAAACAAACCUUCUUCUUGUGGCUGGAGGGCUAUCUCUAUAUUGAAGGAUGUAACCAAAUUUUGUAAUCUCUCUUAUUAAAAAAAAGUAACAUUCUCUCUCCAAAUGUGAUUCAUUUACACGAUGGCUGAUACAAUAAAAGUAAAAACAUACAUUUGACAGCUUGAAAAUAGAAAUAGUUCAUGUCUUGCUAUA
Long non-coding RNA from Papaver somniferum (opium poppy), 831 nucleotides. RefSeq lists it as uncharacterized. The record is from RefSeq and is a predicted model, not a curated record. The transcript has 2 exons. NCBI's taxonomy places the organism in Eukaryota, Viridiplantae, Streptophyta, Magnoliopsida, Ranunculales, Papaveraceae.